UAAUAGUGUAUAUUAAAGUUGUUGCAGUUAAAAAGCUCGUAGUUGAAUGUUGGUGUCGAACGAGCGGUCAGCUUCGGCUGUACUGCUCUCUCGACUCCUUCCUUCUGUGGACUACGUCGCACUUUACUGUGUGGCGCUAGGACGCAGAUCGUUUACUGUGAAAAAAUUAGAGUGUUCAAAGCAGGCCGUACGCUUGAAUACAUUAGCAUGGAAUAAUGGAAUAGGGCGUCGGGCCUAUUUUGUUGGUUCUAGGACCGUCGUAAUGAUUAAUAGGGACAGUUGGGGCCGUUUAUAUUCCGUAGUCAGAGGUGAAAUUCUUGGAUUUACGGAAGAUAAACUACUGCGAAAGCAUUCGGCAAGGAUGUUUUCGUUAA
Molecule: ribosomal RNA, 374 nt
Filed under: uncultured eukaryote
Lineage: Eukaryota
Description: partial 18S ribosomal RNA
Rfam family: Eukaryotic small subunit ribosomal RNA
Source: RNAcentral